UACGUAGGGUGCAAGCGUUAAUCGGAAUUACUGGGCGUAAAGCGUGCGCAGGCGGUCAUGCAAGACAGAUGUGAAAUCCCCGGGCUCAACCUGGGAACUGCAUUUGUGACUGCAUGGCUGGAGUGCGGCAGAGGGGGAUGGAAUUCCGCGUGUAGCAGUGAAAUGCGUAGAUAUGCGGAGGAACACCGGUGGCGAAGGCAAUCCCCUGGGCCUGCACUGACGCUCAUGCACGAAAGCGUGGGGAGCAAACAGG
Molecule: ribosomal RNA, 253 nt
Filed under: uncultured bacterium
Lineage: Bacteria
Description: partial 16S ribosomal RNA
Rfam family: Bacterial small subunit ribosomal RNA
Source: RNAcentral